RNAcentral lists this ribosomal RNA (396 nucleotides) under uncultured bacterium. RNAcentral describes it as "partial 16S ribosomal RNA". It matches the Rfam family "Bacterial small subunit ribosomal RNA", at positions 338 to 732 of the family's 1533-position model. The record is from RNAcentral.
CCUACGGGAGGCAGCAGUGAGGAAUAUUGGUCAAUGGUCGGAAGCCUGAACCAGCCAAGCCGCGUGAGGGAAGAAGGUACUGAGUAUCGUAAACUUCUUUUGUCAGGGAACAAAAACUGGUACGCGUCCCCGACUGAGUGUCCCUGAAGAACAAGCAUCGGCUAACUCCGUGCCAGCGGCCGCGGUAAUCCGGAGGAUGCGGGCGUUAUCCGGAUGUAUUGGGGUAAAGGGGUGCGAAGUGGGGGUGUUAAGUCGGCGGUCAAAGCCCGGGGCUAAACCCCGGCCCGCCGUUGAAACUGGGAGGCUGGAGUGGGAGAGAGGUAGGCAGAAUGCGCGGUGUAGCGGUGAAAUGCAUAGAUAUCGCGAAGAACGCCGAUGGCGAAGGCAGCAUGCCGG